CACAAGCGGUGGAGCGACGUGGUUUAAUUCGAUGCAAACCGAAGAACUUACCUGGGUUUGACAUGUACGUGUUACUGAGGUGAAAGCUGAGGGACCACAUCUUCGGAUGUGGAGCGUACACAGGUGCUGCAUGGCUGUCGUCAGCUCGUGUCGUGGAGAUGUUGGGUUAAGUCCCGCAACGAGCGCAACCCCUGCAUUCAGUUGCCAUCGGUGAGGCCGGGCACUCUGGAUGGACUGCCGGCGACAAGCCGGAGGAAGGUGGGGACGACGUCAAGUCAUCAUGGCCCUUAUGUCCAGGGCGACACACGUGCUACAAUGGCCGGCACAGCGGGAAGCGAAGGGGCGACUCUGAGCGGAUCCCUUAAAGCCGGUCCCAGUUCGGAUUGCAGUCUGCAACUCGACUGCAUGAAGUUGGAAUCGCUAGUAAUCGUGGAUCAGCCAAGCCGCGGUGAAUACGUUCCCGGGCCUU
Molecule: ribosomal RNA, 469 nt
Filed under: uncultured Thermovirga sp.
Lineage: Bacteria; Thermotogati; Synergistota; Synergistia; Synergistales; Thermovirgaceae
Description: bacterial SSU rRNA
Rfam family: Bacterial small subunit ribosomal RNA
Source: RNAcentral